UACGUAGGGGGCAAGCGUUGUCCGGAAUCAUUGGGCGUAAAGAGCGUGUAGGCGGCUCGGUAAGUCCGCUGUGAAAGUCCAGGGCUCAACCCUGGAAUGCCGGUGGAAACUGUCGAGCUAGAGUCCGGAAGAGGCGAGUGGAAUUCCUGGUGUAGCGGUGAAAUGCGCAGAUAUCAGGAGGAACACCAAUGGCGAAGGCAGCUCGCUGGGACGGUACUGACGCUGAGACGCGAAAGCGUGGGGAGCAAACAGG
RNAcentral lists this ribosomal RNA (253 nucleotides) under Conexibacter sp. RNAcentral's name for it is "partial 16S ribosomal RNA". It matches the Rfam family "Bacterial small subunit ribosomal RNA", at positions 524 to 776 of the family's 1533-position model. Lineage: Bacteria; Bacillati; Actinomycetota; Thermoleophilia; Solirubrobacterales; Conexibacteraceae. RNAcentral also lists the same sequence under 3 other names. The record is from RNAcentral.